UACGUAGGGGGCAAGCGUUGUCCGGAAUCAUUGGGCGUAAAGAGCGUGUAGGCGGCCCGGUAAGUCCGCUGUGAAAGUCCAGGGCUCAACCCUGGGAUGCCGGUGGAUACUGUCGGGCUCGAGUCCGGAAGAGGAGUGUGGAAUUCCUGGUGUAGCGGUGAAAUUCGUAGAUAUCGGGAGGAACACCAGUGGCGAAGGCGGCGAUCUGGGUCGAUACUGACGCUGAGGAGCGAAAGCCAGGGGAGCAAACGGG
RNAcentral lists this ribosomal RNA (253 nucleotides) under uncultured bacterium. RNAcentral's name for it is "partial 16S ribosomal RNA". It matches the Rfam family "Bacterial small subunit ribosomal RNA", at positions 524 to 776 of the family's 1533-position model. The record is from RNAcentral.